CGCAUGCGCUAUGCUAAGAAGGCUGGUCCCUCGGGCAAGAUGGCUGCCAAAAGUUUUGCUUCCCGCGUCCGAGGUUCUCGGCGCUUUUUGAAUGGCUUCGUGGCCGGAGCUGUCGUGGGGGCUGUAGGAGCCGGGCUGACGGUCACGCAGUUCCUCUGGAGUCCGGGCGCUGAGGCAGCGUUGGCGGUGAGGGAGCCGGACGGUUCUCCAGAAAAGGCUGUCUUGGAACAAUUUGGAUUCCCUUUAACUGGAACAGAGACUAGGCAUUACACUAAUCAUGCCUUAUCUUAUGAUCAGGCAAAGCGGGUGCCUAGAUGGGUUCUUGAACAUAUAUCCAAGAGCAAGAUAAUGGGUGAUGCAGACAGAAAACAUUGUAAAUUCAAGCCUGAUCCCAACAUCCCUCCAACCUUCAGUGCCUUCAACGAGGACUAUGUUGGAAGUGGGUGGUCACGAGGACACAUGGCCCCAGCAGGAAAUAACAAAUUCUCAUCUAAAGCCAUGGCUGAAACCUUUUACCUUUCUAAUAUUGUGCCUCAGAAUUUUGAUAAUAAUGCUGGAUAUUGGAACAGAAUAGAAAUGUACUGUCGAGAACUGACAGAGAGGUUUGAGGACGUCUGGAUAGUAUCUGGACCAUUGACCUUACCUCAGACUGGAAGGGACGGAAAGAAAACAGUUAGUUACCAGGUGAUCGGUGAGGACAACGUGGCAGUCCCCUCCCACCUUUAUAAGGUGAUCCUGGCGCGCAGAAGCCGGGAGUCUACUGAACCCCUGGCACUAGGGGCCUUUGUGGUGCCCAAUGAAGCCAUUGGCUUCCAGCCCCAACUAAGUGAAUUCCAGGUGAGCCUUCAGGACCUGGAGAAGUGGUCAGGGCUGGUGUUCUUCCCACAUUUGGAUAGAACUAGUGACAUCAGGAACAUCUGCUCCGUGGACACCUGUAAGCUCCUGGAUUUCCGGGAGUUCACUCUGUACCUGAGCACAAGAAAGAUUGAGGGAGCCCGAUCGGUGCUCAGGCUGGAAAAGGUCAUGGAGAAUUUGAGGAAUUCGGGGAUUGACCCCGAUGAUUACUUCAUGAGUCGCUACGAGAAGAAACUGGAAGAACUCAAAGCUCAGGAGCAGUCAGGAGUCCUGGAGAGAAAGCCGUCUUAGUCACAUCUCAGAAGCGUGACAUCUGUCAGGCCGUGGUCGUGGCCGCUUCAGACUGCUGUACCUUAGUGGCUUUGCUUUACAAUGAUGGAAUUCUAAAUUUAAGACUAAAUUUUUGCCCCCAAAGGUAAACGAGGUGAAAGUUUUUGCUUAGUAUUUUACUUGACAUGAGAACUGAUUAUAUAAGGAAACUGACACCUGCAGGUGGCAGCCUGGUCUUGUGUCUGGUUAAGAAGAUGACACCGUGCAUGUGUUGCUCUGGAUGUGUAGUGUGUGAAGAAAUGCCAAGACUUUAAGAUAAAGGUAAGAUGAUGAUGACUGACUUCGCUCUGCUUUAUUUGGGUAAACAAGAAAGAAGUUGGGGGUCAGAACACUGUAGCCUGAUUAAUACGAUUCUGUUUUAUCAAACUGUUCUGCAUUCGCUUUUUCUUCUCAGGGAGAAAGAGCCCAAAUGUCACUGUGACCAAAAAAUCUCUUACUUUCUCUCCUUGUUGGAGAGGUGAUGGUGGGGUCUGGGUGUUUUUCCGGGAGCCUGAGGGGUGGCUCUUGGGGAGAAGUCCUGGGUGACCACCCCCCUCUAGAGGGGUGCCCCCAUCCGCUGUCCCCCAGCCUGUCACUCCGCGCUCUCUCUCCUGACCUCAAUUCCCAGCUGCCUUGGGGCUGUUCCUUGCUGUUCUCAGUCCUGCCUCUCCACCUGGGUGGUAGAGAAUCUUGAUUUUUAGAUCAAUAAAUUAAAGUGUCUUACAUGUUUUUAGUUCCCAUGAAAAAUGCUACUUGGUCAUUGUGAAAAAUAGAGAUAACUACUUACAAUUAAAAAAUGCAGCUCGCAGUCCUCGUUUUCGUUGGUGUGCAGCUGCGAUGCUUGAACCGUCACCUCAGUGCUUCCAGCGAGUCCUUCCAGAACAAACUUUAAGAUGUAAAUACUGGGUGCAGCUCAGAAUUUUCCUCUGGAUCGGAUCACUGCAGCCUCUCCUCCAGGGAUGUUGAAUGUUUCGACUCAGACGCACAGGUCCCUGGGCCUCUCCCCUGCAUCAGGUGUGUCCGUCUGAUCAAAGAAGCACCUUGUGACCGAACCUGAGCAAAUCACCAUCCAUUCGGUCCCUCUCUGGGUCCUGCCACAUCAUCGCGCUGCACCAGGGCCUCUGCCUUCACUGUCUUUACACUCACGGGAUCCCUGGUCUGACUGGGCUGAGGGAAGGCUGCUGAGGAAGGGGGGCCAGCCCGCUUCUGCUGGGAGCCCCCUCUGGGGUGAGGGGCUCACUCCCUGAUCUCUCUCCACCCGCAGUGACAUCUUUAUUUCAUCUUUAUUUUGCGACUUUAGGCUUUUGGUUUCUGGAUUGAGACUGUUUCACCGAUAUUGUAUUCGGCAAGGUGGACGUACACAGGCAACAAACGUAGGAUGGGUGAGCGAGCCCCUUAAAUACCUGCUAGUGUUUCUGCCCUCGUGCCUCGAUCUUCAAACAACCGAAAACCCCCAUCCCUCCUCCCUCCUUCAGGACUUGGAAUAGAGCCCAGCAGGAGAGACAGAGUCUGAUCUCGAGGGAGUGGCCCCCAGCAGAGCUGGGCUCGGCCUGCAGCCCUCCUCUUGGAAUGACCCCCAGUAUUGGCAUGUCACCUGUAUUCCCUGGCUUCACCCUCGUGAGUCCAUAAAAGUCAUUAGCGUCAACAUGACGAAUCUCAGGAUUUUGAUUGAGUAGUUCUGAUGUGAAGCUGGAAUCUAUAUUUUCUAAACAAGCAACACUGGCAAUUCUGGUGAUCAGCCAGGAUUUGGAACCAGACUGUGCCCUACUCUGCCUCCACCCUCCCCCAACGAUCAUGUCUCCUUCCCCGAGACAGGAGCCCUCUGACAGUUAGGUGGUCUUGGAGCUUGAGCUUGUGAGUAUCAAGGGAGAACUUUCUUCCAUCCCUUUGGGCCCCCAGGUGGCCAGUUUUUUUUGUAGCAGAGCUUUGUAACAGUAACUGAAACCUUCCCUGUACCUCCUGCCUCUCAGUGACCCGUGCUGAUGGCCAUUCUGGGCUGCACAGAAUGGGCUGGCACCUGCUUCCACCUGAGAAUCUCUUAGAGAAAAGCCCCUGAGGACGUUGGGGCUUCUCAUUGCCUGCUCAGACUUUCAUGGGUUUCAGACCCUUCACCAUGACUUUACAGGCCCUCUUAGUGUAGUGGCCACGUCUGGGCAAAGCCUUCAGGAUGAGGUGUUAGCAGUGCCGAACGGAGUCGGGGGAUUGACACCCCACUUUACUCACUGUACCUUUGGUUCACGUGCAGCUCGCUCCAACUAGUGGCUUCAGGUCUUUUCCACAUGAUCUUCUGUCAAAUCACUUUCCCAUCAUGUGCUUACACAGUCAAUUUCUGGAACACAAAUGUGACACUACAUGUAUGCCCAACUGUUAAGAUUCCAUUUUAUUAACAGUUUCUACCCAUCUUCAAGAGAGUUCACAUUCUUUUUGAUCCUGACUUGGCCAUCUGACAUGUUCACUAUGCCUCCCAGCUUUGAGAUUGCAGAUUGGAUAAACAAGCCUUCAACGUGUCCGUUAAAAACAUUGAAGGAGACAGAGCCAAGGAAGGUCCCUUUGAUUCAGGCUGAGACCUUAGCUCUUAUCCGAGGUCAGUGGAGUCCAGGACAGUAUGAUGUUGGUGUCCUCUCGCCACAUGAGGCUGAAGCUUGAACAGACUGGCGCUCCUGGGGGAUGAGUGUGCCCCUCACUCUUCACUGUGGCCCUGGGACCCUGCCUCUGGCCUCCCAGGCUGAGGCUCAGACCCGCCUGUGCUCUGGUCGAGGAACCGGCCACGGCCCUUCUACCUCAGGACCUUCCCAUCUGCUCUUCCGUCUGCCUGGAAACGCCCACCUCAGUCAACAAAAACGCCACAUCUUCAGCAGGUCUUCUCUGGUCCCGUCCCCUGGAUACUCUUACUGCACUUUGUGCUCCACCCCAACAACCCACAGUUUUGUGAUUCUAAAGAGCCCUGGUUUGUGGAUUUUGAGGACAACAAAGCGUGGAAGAUGGGAUUGCUGGUGAGAAAGGGACUGGGCCUCAGAGGACAGGAAGGAUGCAAAUGCAAGAAGGGGAC
RNA transcript from Camelus dromedarius (Arabian camel), 4213 nucleotides. It is a transcript of the gene named exo/endonuclease G, with no coding region annotated. The transcript is spliced from 10 exons. The record is from RefSeq and is a predicted model, not a curated record. Lineage: Eukaryota; Metazoa; Chordata; Mammalia; Artiodactyla; Camelidae.